UACGGAGGGUGCAAGCGUUAUCCGGAUUCACUGGGUUUAAAGGGUGCGUAGGAGGGUAGGUAAGUCAGUGGUGAAAUCUUCGAGCUUAACUCGGAAACUGCCGUUGAUACUAUCUAUCUUGAAUACCGUGGAGGUGAGCGGAAUAUGUCAUGUAGCGGUGAAAUGCUUAGAUAUGACAUAGAACACCAAUUGCGAAGGCAGCUCGCUACACGAAUAUUGACUCUGAGGCACGAAAAGCGUGGGGGAUCAAACAGG
RNAcentral lists this ribosomal RNA (255 nucleotides) under uncultured bacterium. RNAcentral describes it as "partial 16S ribosomal RNA". It matches the Rfam family "Bacterial small subunit ribosomal RNA", at positions 524 to 776 of the family's 1533-position model. The record is from RNAcentral.